AGAAUCAACGCUGGCGGCGUGCCUAACACAUGCAAGUCGAACGAGAAAGUGGAGCAAUCCAUGAGUAAAGUGGCGACCGGGUGAGUAACACGUGACUACCUACCCUUGAGUGGGGGAUAACCUCGGGAAACCGAGGCUAAUACCGCAUAAUAUCGAAAGAUCAAAGGAGUAAUCCGCUUUUGGGAGGGGGUCGCGGCUGAUUAGCUAGUUGGUAGGGUAAUGGCCUACCAAGGCGAAGAUCGGUA
This 245-nucleotide ribosomal RNA is filed under the name uncultured bacterium. RNAcentral's name for it is "partial small subunit ribosomal RNA". It matches the Rfam family "Bacterial small subunit ribosomal RNA", at positions 26 to 285 of the family's 1533-position model. The record is from RNAcentral.